RNAcentral lists this ribosomal RNA (351 nucleotides) under Triticum aestivum (bread wheat). RNAcentral's name for it is "partial small subunit ribosomal RNA". The record is from RNAcentral. Lineage: Eukaryota; Viridiplantae; Streptophyta; Magnoliopsida; Poales; Poaceae.
AUGGUCGAUCUCGUACUCAUGGACACCAUGCUCCCCGGCUUUUGGGAUGAUGACCAGGAGCUUCAUCGCCGACAUGUACAUCGCCUACAACCUCCAGUUCGAGCUGAAGCCCUCCACAACCUCGCCAUCCAGUCGUCUUCCCCACCACGGCCACGGCGCCAUCACCGUCGAUCUCCACCACCGAUGCCUCCCCGCGGUUCCAAGCACGUCCACGACCUCCCUCGCAGUGAGCCGCGUCCAUUCCUCCUCCUUGCUGCCUGGAUUUGUUGCCGUAGCCGCUGUUCCCGAGCACACCCGAGCUCUCCUGUACGUCUUCAUCCACACAAAACUCAACAAGAACUCGUGAGAUAA